This 352-nucleotide ribosomal RNA is filed under the name uncultured bacterium. Its description in RNAcentral is "bacterial SSU rRNA". It matches the Rfam family "Bacterial small subunit ribosomal RNA", at positions 29 to 407 of the family's 1533-position model. The record is from RNAcentral.
AACGAACGCUGGCGGCAGGCUUAACACAUGCAAGUCGAACGGUUGUAGCAAUACAGCAGUGGCAGACGGGUGAGUAACACGUGGGAACCUUCCUAGGGGUACGGAACAACUCAGGGAAACUUGAGCUAAUACCGUAUACGUCCGUGAGGAGAAAGAUUUAUCGCCCUUAGACGGGCCCGCGUAGGAUUAGGUAGUUGGUGGGUAAUGGCCUACCAAGCCUACGAUCCUUAGCUGAUCUGAGAGGAUGAUCAGCCACACUGGGACUGAGACACGGCCCAGACUCCUACGGGAGGCAGCAGUGGGGAAUCUUGGACAAUGGGCGCAAGCCUGAUCCAGCCAUGCCGCGUGAGUG